UUAGAAAUUACAGUUUCCCUAUUUCCGACUGUUUGUUUUUAAUUUUGGGUUAUAAAAAUUAAAAACCCGCGAAAAAAUUGAGCCCCCGUUAUUUAUAUACAAAUACUCUACUGAUUCACGGAAGACCUGUUAAGUGCCAAAUUACCCCCAUUCAUCCUUGAUGGUUAUGUAAAUAUCCAAAGUAUUGUUUUUAUAAAUGUUUUUGAACUGAAAAGUUCAUAAUAAAGUGUUUAAC
Non-coding RNA from Paramuricea clavata, 235 nucleotides. The record is from the annotation of a GenBank genome assembly. Lineage: Eukaryota; Metazoa; Cnidaria; Anthozoa; Malacalcyonacea; Plexauridae.